RNAcentral lists this unclassified non-coding RNA (358 nucleotides) under fungal sp. RNAcentral describes it as "partial internal transcribed spacer region". The stretch from base 1 to 45 matches the Rfam family "Eukaryotic small subunit ribosomal RNA", at positions 1787 to 1831 of the family's 1831-position model. The record is from RNAcentral. Lineage: Eukaryota; Fungi.
AGUCGUAACAAGGUAUCCGUAGGUGAACCUGCGGAUGGAUCAUUAACAAAGGUGUUUUUGAAGUUGUGUGAACAGUUGGAGGUGGUGGUGGUGGUGGUGGUAUUGGGUGGUACUGGGUGGUAUUGGGUGGUAUUGGGUGUGUUUGUGGGUGGUGUAACCUUGGUCUAACCUUGGUCAACCUCACUCAACCUCACUCAACCUCACUCUCCCAACCUCACUCUCCCAACCUCACUCUCCCAACCUCACUCUCCCAACCUCACUCUCCCAACCUCCACCACUCCGUCCCUAUAAUGUAUACAAACUGAUGUCUGCUAGUUUCAAACUAAAACAACUUUUAGCAACGGAUCUCUUGGCUCUC